RNAcentral lists this unclassified non-coding RNA (298 nucleotides) under plant metagenome. Its description in RNAcentral is "partial contains 5.8S ribosomal RNA, internal transcribed spacer 2, and large subunit ribosomal RNA". The stretch from base 1 to 105 matches the Rfam family "5.8S ribosomal RNA", at positions 50 to 154 of the family's 154-position model. The record is from RNAcentral.
GAAACGCGAUAAGUAAUGUGAAUUGCAGAAUUCAGUGAAUCAUCGAAUCUUUGAACGCACAUUGCGCCCGCUAGUAUUCUGGCGGGCAUGCCUGUUCGAGCGUCAUUUCAACCAUCAAGCCCUAGGCUUGUGUUGGGGGCCUGCAGCCGCUGCAGCCCACUAAAAGCAGUGGCGGGCUCGCUGUCAUUCCGAGCGCAGUAGUUACAUCUCGCUCUGGGCGUGGCAGUGGGCACUUGCCGUAAAACACUCUUUCUAAGGUUGACCUCGGAUCAGGUAGGAAUACCCGCUGAACUUAAGC